AUUGAACGCUGGCGGCAGGCCUAACACAUGCAAGUCGAGCGAGCGGCGGACGGGUGAGUAAUGUAUGGGGACUGCCCGAUAGAGGGGGAUAACUACUGGAAACGGUAGCUAAUACCGCAUACUAUCGGAUAACCCAUAUGGGAUUAGCUAGUAGGUGGGGUAAUGGCUCACCUAGGCGACGAUCCCUAGCUGGUCUGAGAGGAUGAUCAGCCAAACGGGGACUGGGACACGGCCCAGACUCCUACGGAGGCAGAAGUGGGGAAUAUUGGACAAUGGGGGAAAGCCUGAUGCGGCCAUGCCGCGUGGAUGAAGAAGGCCCGAGGGUUGUAAAGUACUUUCAGUCGGGAGGCGUUACCGACAGAAGAAGCACCGGCUAACUCCGUGCCAGCCGCCGCGGUAAUUC
Molecule: ribosomal RNA, 403 nt
Filed under: uncultured bacterium
Lineage: Bacteria
Description: partial 16S ribosomal RNA
Rfam family: Bacterial small subunit ribosomal RNA
Source: RNAcentral